RNAcentral lists this ribosomal RNA (431 nucleotides) under uncultured bacterium. RNAcentral's name for it is "bacterial SSU rRNA". It matches the Rfam family "Bacterial small subunit ribosomal RNA", at positions 29 to 506 of the family's 1533-position model. The record is from RNAcentral.
ACGAACGCUGGCGGCAUGCCUAACACAUGCAAGUCGAACGAGACCUUCGGGUCUAGUGGCGCACGGGUGCGUAACGCGUGGGAAUCUGCCCAAAGGUUCGGAAUAACUCAGGGAAACUUGUGCUAAUACCGGAUAAUGUCUUCGGACCAAAGAUUUAUUGCCUUUGGAUGAGCCCGCGUCGGAUUAGCUUGUUGGUGAGGUAAAAGCUCACCAAGGCGACGAUCCGUAGCUGGUCUGAGAGGAUGAUCAGCCACACUGGGACUGAGACACGGCCCAGACUCCUACGGGAGGCAGCAGUGGGGAAUAUUGGACAAUGGGCGAAAGCCUGAUCCAGCAAUGCCGCGUGAGUGAUGAAGGCCUUAGGGUUGUAAAGCUCUUUUACCCGGGAUGAUAAUGACAGUACCGGGAGAAUAAGCUCCGGCUAACUCCGU